RNAcentral lists this ribosomal RNA (411 nucleotides) under uncultured bacterium. RNAcentral describes it as "partial 16S ribosomal RNA". It matches the Rfam family "Bacterial small subunit ribosomal RNA", at positions 355 to 759 of the family's 1533-position model. The record is from RNAcentral.
UGGGGAAUAUUGCACAAUGGGCGCAAGCCUGAUGCAGCCAUGCCGCGUGUGUGAAGAAGGCCUCGGGUUGUAAAGCACUUUCAGCGAGGAGGAAGGUGGUGAACUUAAUACGUUCAUCAAUUGACGUUACUCGCAGAAGAAGCACCGGCUAACUCCGUGCCAGCAGCCGCGGUAAUACGGAGGGUGCAAGCGUUAAUCGGAAUUACUGGGCGUAAAGCGCACGCAGGCGGUUUGUUAAGUCAGAUGUGAAAUCCCCGGGCUCAACCUGGGAACUGCAUUUGAAACUGGCAAGCUAGAGUCUCGUAGAGGGGGGUAGAAUUCCAGGUGUAGCGGUGAAAUGCGUAGAGAUCUGGAGGAAUACCGGUGGCGAAGGCGGCCCCCUGGACGAAGACUGACGCUCAGGUGCGAAAA